This 1878-nucleotide long non-coding RNA is filed under the name Macaca fascicularis (crab-eating macaque). RNAcentral describes it as "lncRNA (ENSMFAG00000054793.1)". Lineage: Eukaryota; Metazoa; Chordata; Mammalia; Primates; Cercopithecidae. The record is from RNAcentral.
GGAAAUACUCAGACCAUUAAAAUGAUUUGUGAGUUUUUAGAAAAGGAAGCAAAGGUAACAAGUAUUAUCAUCUUGGAUUUCCAAAAACAAAGCAUGCCAGAUCAGCCUACUUGUAAAUUUCUAUAGUUACUAACAUAGUACAUAAGGCAAUGCUUUAGAUAGGAUAUAGCUGCAUAUUACUGUGCAUUUGACAAUCCUUACCACAUGGAAUUGUUGAGGGCAAGGAGAAAUACAAGCCAUGAUGAUAGCAUGGCUGGCAGGUUUAGAACUUGUGGUUUGAUGCUAACUUGAGCUCAUUUCUGGUGCUGUGCUAGGGGGUUCCCAGCUUUGUCAUAGAGAACAUGUUUAUCAAUAGCAUGGAUCAUUUGAGGGGUGACAUGGAACUGGAUAGGAUGGUGAACACACUGAAAAACAGAGGAGACAUUCAACAGUAGACACUGUAGGCAGAUUUGUGGGGUUAGCGGACUAUGGGCGUCAUGAGUCAACAGUGUGGCGUGGCCGCCCUACAGUGGAUCUAAGGUGUGGAGACUCAAGGAAAGGCCCCUUUUGCUACUUGAUGAAAUGCCUACCACCUCCCACUAGAAGCUUUUGUUUCAUUGGUUUAUGCUGAAGGAUGCUAAGUUGUGUUAACAGCAUUACAGAGAGAAGGAGAACUUAAAAAUCUUGUAAUGCAGAAGAAGCUGAGGGCACUUACCCUGUAACCAAAAGGACUUUGAUGAGGGGUGGGGUGUGCAGGUGGACAGGUGGACAUGGUCUUAAACUUUUCAAAGACUGCUCCCAAAAAAGAGGGAUUGGAGGCCAGACACGGUGGCUCAUGCCUGUAAUCCCAGCACUUUGGGAGGCCAAGGCGGGUGGAUCACCUGAGGUUGGGAGUUGAGACCAGCCUGACAAACAUGGAGAAACCCCAUCUCUACUAAAAAUACCAAAAAAUUAGCCAGGCGUGGUGGCAUAUGCCUGCAAUCCUGUCUACUCGGGAGGCUGAGGCAGGAGAAUCGCUUGAACUCAGCAGGCGGAGGUCGUGGUGAGCCAAGAUUGCACCAUUGCACUCCAGCCUGGGCAACAAGAGCGAGACUCCAUCUCAAAAAAAAAAAAAAAAGGGGGAUUGGAUUGUUCUGUUUCUCCCUGGAGCGUCAAUGUAAAACCAAUGAGCAAUGGUGAGAGUUUUCCGAAACCAGAAUGGGCUUCCUAGAGCGUCGGGCGUCCCUCUCACUGCAAGUGUGUUGGCAGAGAAGGGAUGCUCAGGAGGUGGCAGGGUACUGGGGACCGGACGCACCUGAAGGAAGCAGAUCUGACGACCAACCUGGAACAGCCCUUCCCAGCCUAUUAUCCCACAAGAAAAUGCACAUGUGAUGAUGAAGCCUGUGUUCUCCUGAAUGAUCCCCUCUCCUCUCCUCCACUCCUGCAAGCAGAAUUCCUCCUAUCAGAGCCAACUUUUUUCUAUUGCAUGGUGUUGAGUAUUGUGUUUUUCACAGAACAAGCAUCAAUAAAUAUUUGCCCAAAUGUCACAUGUACCAAGAAGGCUGAGAAGACUGAUUUCCCCAGAGACCUGGCAGUCUGGAUCUGAGGCUGUAUGAAUUAUUAAACGCUGAGGAUAAAGUAACCUUUUCUACUGUAUCCAUGUACCUAGGUAGCAAUGAUUUUUCCUAAAGGAUGGGCUGUUAUGAGAACCAGUUUUUAGUAACAUUUGUCUCACAGAAAACCCAUUUUUUUUUAGCUGUGUGUGGUGGUGGGUACCUGUAAUACCAGCUACUCAGGAGGCUGAGGCAGGAGAAUCACUUGAACCCGGGAAGUGGAGGUUGCAGUGAGCUAAGAUUGCACCACUGCACUCCAGCCUGGGCAACAAGAGCAAAACUCCAUCUCAAAAAAAAAAAAAAAAAA